GCGCGGAUGGCGAAACUGGCAAACGCGGCCGGUUCAAACCCGGCUUUCCCUAAGGGUUCGAGUCCCUUUCCGCGCACCA
This 79-nucleotide transfer RNA is filed under the name Hydrogenophaga aromaticivorans. Its description in RNAcentral is "tRNA-Leu". It matches the Rfam family "tRNA". Rfam says of the family: Transfer RNA (tRNA) molecules are approximately 80 nucleotides in length. Their secondary structure includes four short double-helical elements and three loops (D, anti-codon, and T loops). The record is from RNAcentral. Lineage: Bacteria; Pseudomonadati; Pseudomonadota; Betaproteobacteria; Burkholderiales; Comamonadaceae.